UUCGCAAUGCCCGAAAGGGUGACGAAGCGACGCCGCGUGCGGGAAGAAGGCCUUCGGGUUGUAAACCGCUGUCGGGAGUUAAGAAAUGCAAGGAUGUCAAUAGCAUCUUUGCUUGACUAAGGCUCCGGAGGAAGCCACGGCUAACUCUGUGCCAGCAGCCGCGGUGAUACAGAGGCGGCAAGCGUUGUUCGGAAUUAUUGGGCGUAAAGAGCACGUAGGCGGCUAUGUAAGUCGGUUGUGAAAGCCUUCCGCUCAACGGGAGAACAGCAUCCGAUACUGCAUGGCUUGAGUGCGGGAGGGGAGAGUGGAACUUCUGGUGGAGCGGUGAAAUGCGUAGAUAUCAGAAGGAACGCCGGCGGCGAAAGCGGCUCUCUGGCCCAUAACUGACGCUGAGUGUGCGAAAGCUAGGGGAGCAAACGGGAUUAGAUACCCCGGUAGUCCUAGCCGUAAACGAUGGGCACUAAGUAGAGGGGUUUU
Molecule: ribosomal RNA, 477 nt
Filed under: uncultured bacterium
Lineage: Bacteria
Description: bacterial SSU rRNA
Rfam family: Bacterial small subunit ribosomal RNA
Source: RNAcentral